Molecule: ribosomal RNA, 253 nt
Filed under: uncultured bacterium
Lineage: Bacteria
Description: partial 16S ribosomal RNA
Rfam family: Bacterial small subunit ribosomal RNA
Source: RNAcentral
CACGUAGGGGGCAAGCGUUGUCCGGAAUGAUUGGGCGUAAAGAGCUCGUAGGCGGCUCGGUAAGUCAGGUGUCAAAUCCUCAGGCUCAACCUGGGGCUCCACCUGAUACUGCUGUGGCUAGAGUCCGGUAGGGGAGCGUGGAAUUCCAGGUGUAGCGGUGAAAUGCGUAGAUAUCUGGAGGAACACCGGUGGCGAAGGCGGCGUUCUGGACUGCAACUGACACUGAGAAACGAAAGCCAGGGGAGCAAACGGG